GCACAACCUUGUACCGGUACAAGCCUGCCAGAACUCAAUCCGAGAGCUGACCAAAAUCCAAAUUUUUGGGUUUCGGUGCAAGGCUUUGUACCACACUCCUCGGGACGCGUGCCAUAAGUCGGAACACAGUCAACGACCUACCAGAAAAUCUGGAAAAGCUCAGAGCACAGCUAAUCACCCGAACCUCGCAAUUUGCAAAGGUCCAGUGUGUUACAGUCCCGCAGACGGUCUCGGUGUGCGAGUGCAGAUUCUCCUCACCUAUGAGAUUGAAAGUGAGUCGGGGUUAACCCCGGGGUGGCAACCUUCGGGUUAGCCAUGAGAUUGGAUACUAUCGAGGCAUAGUUGCACGACGCACUAUGUAGUAGCUCGUUCAUUUGGAUUAUUGAGGCAUAGUAGCAUGUGCAGAUACAUCACUAUAUAGCAGCUCAUUUCUUUAUUGUUGAGACAUAGUAGCAUGUUGUAGAUACAUCACUAUGUAGUAGCUCAUUUCUAUUGUUGUUGAAGCAUAGUAUCAUGAUUAGUAGAAUAUCAUUGCUAUGUUCAUGCAUUCCAUGAUUACAGAGGCAUAGUAGCAUGUGUAUAUUCCAUUACUAUGUAGCAGCUCGUACUUAGUAGAGCGAGAUUGAGUCGGGCGAGGAGCGGGGUAGCUCUUUGCCUAGGACCUUCGAGAUUGAGUCGGGCAAGGAGCGGGGUAGCUCUUUGUCUAGGACCUUUGAGAUUUGAGAUCUUAGGCAAGUUGGCCUAGUCGAUUGGGUUGUAACAUGAAUAGCAUAAGUGGAUUGCAUUCAUGCCAUGAUUGGACAUAGUAGACUGCAUAACUAUGUUGUAGUUGUAUUUAUUACACUGUUGAAGCAUACUAGCAUGAUAGUAGGUUAUUGCUAGAUGAUGUUCCAUGCAUUCUUUGCAUUUGAUGGCAUAGUAGAUAUAGUAGCAAUGUAUUUCUAUCUACCUUUCUAUCUAUCUAUCUGUGCCAGCUUGGACCUAGUGGGAAAACCGGCGGCGUCGGCGGCCGAACCCACUGGGAACUAUAUUUAUAUAGUUCUCACCCCGUGUGGUUUUGGGGUAUAGGUACACACGAGAGCGUACCGGCAGAGGACCGUGGUAAGGGCACAGCGCCCUAGUAGCUAGUAGCUUUCCUUAUGCAUUAGAGUGCCCUCGUGUACAUAGAGAUGUAAAUGUAUUUGGAAGUUACUUAUGUAUUUGGAAAGACAUUUUGUAUUAUGAGAAUAAUAUGUAUUCAUUUGGGAAGAUGAAAAUGUAAAUCAAUAUGAAAAUUGAGGUUGAAUGAAUGUAAUAGCUAGAUGUAUCUCUCUUUAUUUCACUUGUAUGUUACUUGUGAUUCUUGCUCUUAGAUGUAUUGCACCUGUGUGCAUCGUGUUCGAUCAUGUAUGUUAUUUAAGCAUUCCCUGGGCGCUUAACUGUACAUGAUCUGGUUGCUUAGCCUUGGGCGGACAGGAGAGGUGCUGUCCGUUCGGCGUCUGAUCGACGUGCCCGGAUCUUGCCAAAUUGGCGGGUCGCGGGGCGUGACAGAUGGUCGUGGUAUCAGAGCAAGCUAAGAGCAAGUAAAGAGAGAGUUUAGGAUGACCUAGGAGACCCUAGGACAGUAAACCGUAAGGUUAUAGGUGCGUGAGUGGAACGUGAACCUAUAACGGUGGCGGAAGUUGAAUCGAUUGGGUCAAGUUAGUAAACCUCUAAGACAGAUGUUAGAGGUGGAUUCAAGGUUCAAUUUAUUCUCACUAGAGGAUGUUCAUGUUGGAUGCAUACAACAUGAAACCGAGAGAUGAGAAUAGGCACCCUUGUAUGACUUUCGCCUGAUUUGAGUCAAGCUGAUGUUAGUUGUUACGUGUUCGACCUAGAGGGUCGAGACCAACUGUGUUGUCGCGGUUUAGGAGAUCGACAAUGGUACCGCGUAGGCGAUCUUCGUUUAGAUCGGCGCGGGACGGGACAAGUGAUGUCCCAGAACGAUUCAAGCGAGCGGAGAAUGCAAACUUCGCUAUUGGUUGGCCACGCUCGUGGGAGUGAUGAGGCCACGAGUCGGUGGAUCGGUUGGCGAUCGCACCAGUUUUGGCACGUCGAGUACGGCCGGGAUUCGCGACGGAGGUGUUUCCGUCGGGGUCGGGCAAUCCGACUUCUAGCACUCCAAAGGUUGAGGCGGUGAGGGAGCGAGCGUCGAUGGCCCUCAUGAUUUUUACGGAAUUUGAUCCGCCUACCUUUGAUGGAGAGAAUGUAGAUCCGCAGAUUGUGGAGUUGUGGAUUGAUUCCAUGGAAACUCUAAUAGAGGAUCUAUGCUUAGUGCAAACGGGAGUUCUCCCAUAUCUCCAGUUACAUCCUAAACAUAGUACGGGAUGACGACGAUAUGGCCGAUUUGUUUGUGCGGAGACUUCGGCUAAAUAUUGUCAAGGUUGUGCAUGUAAGGAAGUGAAUUCUCGAAAUUUGAGAGUUUGACUUCGUUUAAAAUCGACCAUGUGUCGAGUUGGUGCACUUCGGAAUGUCCGAAAAUGCCAAAGAGGCAAAGAGUGCAUCGUAACGGACCUCGCCUUUCCCGUCUGUUGCAUCGGCUUUGGCGAUUUCGGGCCAUUAUGAAGGAGCCCUACCUACUGUUGCUUUAGCUAGACGCGCGAUGGCACCUCGUCAGCCAGAGGUGGCCCGUCGACUACGAGUGGCUGGGUGUUUGCCACUCAAGUCGAGGAACUUGCUGCCGCUAAUGAUGUCUUGGUAGGUAUGGCUUAAUACAAGCAAGCAGGUAUUUCGGCGUAAUGCGGAAUAGAUGCAUUGCAGACAUUUCCAUGGUCAGUUGCUACUAAUUAUGCAUUAGUAUAGUAGGGACCAGUGGANUCUUGCUUCUUCUUCUUCUUCUCCAAGCCCUAGAGCAAGAGUUCUAGAGAGAGAAAGAGAGGAAAAGGGAGAGAAGGGUAAAAUGGCUGUGGGAGAGAGAGGGGUGUCCACAUAUAGUGUUGUGACAAUUGCAUUUAAGCCCCUCAACUUAUUUCCCCUUGAUCUGCCCAGACUGGGCGUUUUUCGCCUUCGGGGACCAGUCUCCCCGACCAGGGACCGGUUCCCGAACGUGGGUGUUCCAGGACUUAGCCAAAUUUUCUAGUCUUUCGGCUGUUGCACAGCGAGGGACCGGUCUGCCCCUUCAGGGACCGGUCUCCCAAGGACCGGUCUCACUACCAGGGACCGGUUGCCUCAAGACUUCCUGGCAGGCUACGCGUACGGGGACCGGUCUCUCCUUCAGGGACCGGUCCCCGAGAGCACAAAAUCUGGGACUUAGCCAGAUUUCCAGAUUACUCUCUCGGGUCCCUUUUAGCCUCACUUAUGGACUCUAAUGUGCUCAUGGUCCACUCAAACUCAUUCAUCUCCGCAGUCCGCUCAUUUCGACGGAACUCGGCACGAUUUACGAGGGAUGUGGUAUGUUACAUGGAGGAAGUAGCACCAAGGAGUAAAAGAGAAGAUCAAACCACUAAAUAUCAUGCAAAAAGGGGAUCAAAUCCAAAGAGGGGAAAACAGGAGGUCCCCUACCUUGUCUCCACUGCCUCUCAGCUCAGGGAAGGCCCUAAGGAGCGUGGGGUAUGUAUAGAGUUGCUACAAAAGCGAAUACACCCCUCAAAGCUGCAGUUCUCGCAGUCUGCCAAAGUGUAGCGGUACACGGAAAAGUGUACCGGUACAAAUCCCGCGAACUCACAAACCCGACCUUCGGGUUGGCUAAAAACCACAAAUGUACCGGUACAACUAUCAAAGUGUACUGGUACAAAAUGUGUUCCAGUACAACCAUCAAGAUUGUACCGAUACACAACCCUGCUGAAGCAAACCCGAGAGCAAACCAAACAUUCAACUUUUUGGAUUUUGGUGCACAGUUAUAAACCUCAAUUCUCGGGAUGUGAGCCAUAGGUCGGAACACUGUCUACGACCCUCCAGAAUAUCUGGAAAAACUCAGAUCACAGAUUAAACAAUCGAACCUUGCAAUUUGCAAAAAUCCAGUGUGUUACAUUCUCCCCUCCUUAAAAGGAGUUUCGUCCGCGAAACUGCGGGUCAACCACGAAACAGACCCAUCCAAAAAGGAUGGAAGAAGCGCUCCAACAGCGCAUAGAUCAGACCAUGAAGGUCUCAAGCAUGACGGAAUGCUCCUCGGCAAAACACACAAGGUCCCACGAUGCCAAGACUUGGCAUAACUCAAGUAAAGCUUCCACUGAAGUUCUUCGAACUCAAGGCUUUACCGGAAGUUCCAUCUCUAGUCCGUGCCUGAUCACCAAGUCCAUCAGUCGGUUCUCACGAAACCAAGUAUUCCCAAAAGCUGAAUUCUCGUUCUCACCUUCCUCGUUCAAGUCGAGGGUAGGCCUUGCUCUGCUUCAAUUACUCUAGUAUAUAGAAUUCCAUCCAAAUACCUGUAGGAUACCGAACUUCUAAAAUUAUGAAGUUACGGUGGGAUGUAAUAUGCGGAUUUUAAUGUAAAAAGGGAAAUAAAUAAAAAUAGUAUGAGAUACUAUUUUUAUUAGAUUUAGAGAAGUGAAAUAUAAGUUUGGAAUGACCCGUGUUGAAAUCAGAGCGAAAACAGAAGAUUUAGAUUUUCUGUGAGAAACGGGGCAGAUAAAUUAGCAGAAAAUGCACAGUCUCAGAAAAUUAUGAAAACUAGCGGGGAUGCCAGAAAUAUUUUAAUGAGGCUAGAUUUAGAGUUUCAUAUUUUUCUGACACCCGUAGAGUGAGAACUAAAAUCCGACAGUUAUCUGAUAAAGAUUACAGUUCGGUACAGCUUUCGGUGACCAAACGGGGUCGAAACUGAAAGAUUAAAAUUUCUUUCGUUAAGUUAAGCAAAACCGAAUAUGACUGUCAAAUUUGAGCUCAAACGGAUAUUCAGGGAGUUCCGGCGAAAGAUAUCAGAUUUGGAGCUGCCUGAUGUGAAUAGUGUAUGCUACUAUUGAGGGUUGACUAUAAGUAGAAGCUUCUAGUGACUUGGCUUCUUCUUCACAGCCAAGCACCACCCCCACAAGAGCACGUUCAUGGUGUAGUGAGAGAAACCCUCUCUUUCUCUCUCUAAAUAUCUCUCUCAUCUCUCUAGAUCUUUCGCCCAAAUUCGCGGCGUUGGUGGAGAUCGAGCUUGCGAACGCGUUGGGAGCGACGGAUCGAGUUUUCGUGCGCCCGUUGGAUUGGCGUGCUUUCGUCUCGGCGUUCAUAUUUUGGUAAGCUAUCGGGAUUUGGCUUAAUCCUUAAGUUUAAGUGUUCUAAUAGCCUCUAAUGUGAAGUUAGCUUGUUAAAUCCUUAAUAUUUGGAUUGUUUGGAGCAUAUGUUGAGGCUAAGGUGUGAAAAUGGGGGUUUACAAAUUAGGUGGGGUUUGAUCUAAUUUGACCCUUCGUAAACCUAAUUGCUAGGUAAACGAACGCGUUGGUGAAGUCGGUUCGGCGAUUCGUCGAGCCUACGCGAAGUUAUUAAAGAAACAGACGUUUAGGCUUCGUUUCCGCCUGGAGGGCCGAGGCGACGUCGUAAAAUCAUGAAAAUGGAUUUGAAGCAUCGUGGCACAUAACCGAAGACCUUUAAUUUUCGGAUCGUGAAUUGGAGGCCGUUCGGGUGGUCGCGCGAGAGAUCGGGCCAAACCGGGUGCCGGGUGCCGCGGGAGGCCGAUUGCAAGUGUCGACAAGCAAUCGGAAUGCGAUAAAAGGUGGGGGGUGUCAUCCCGAAGCAACUGAGCUUCCUUUUAUGUCUAAGUUCUAUAUCUUGAUCAUAUUCCUAUAUGUUGAUAUAUUGUGCAUUAUAGGAUUAGUAGAUGAUUACAUUUCCAUUCCUUGCAUGUUACCUAGGUUGUGUAGCAUUGUGGGCUUGACACUUGAUCUUAGGUUGCAUGAGGAUUGGGUCUUGUGACAAGAAUCCUAUAGUGACAAGAAUGAUGAUGAACUUGGACAUGUAAUUGGCCUAGACGAGUGGCAUUUGGACUAGUGUAACAAAGACACUAUAAUAUUGACGAGUGGCAUGUCGAUUUAGUGUAUUAAGACACAUAUAACAUCAUGACAUAAACGAGUGGCAUCAAAUCUAGUGUAGUGAAACACUAUGGCAUUUGAACCUAGGGAUAGUAGAUUUUCCCGAUUGUCAUGUUGUAGACAUUAUGCAUUUGGCAUUAGUGCAUUUGAGGCAUUGAUUAUGCAUUUGGUAUUGUGCAGCAGAGGCACAUUGACCCUGGUAGAUAGGGUAUCCUCUUGUGAGGAUUGGAUCAUACUCACUAGUCUGUUUUUGCUUGUCGGUGGUCGCUCCACCGAAGCACGAGUCUCCGGAGUACUUCACUAGGGGCAGACGUAGUUGUCCCGCAGACGGUCUCGGUGUGCGAGUGCAGAUUCUCCUCACCUAUGAGAUUGAGAGUGAGUCGGGGUUGACCCCGGGGUGGCAACCUUCAGGUUAGCCAUGAGAUUGGAUACUAUCGAGGCAUAGUUGCACGACGCACUAUGUAGUAGCUCGUUCAUUCGGAUUAUUGAGGCAUAGUAGCAUGUGCAGAUACAUCACUAUGUAGUAGCUCAUUUCCAAGCAGAUUGGGUAAAGAAUAUGAAUGGCAUAGCAGAUUUGCAUUCAUACCUUGAGUUGACAUUGAGACAUAGUAGCAUGUUGUAGAUACAUCACUAUGUAGUAGCUCAUUUCCAUUAUUGUUGAAGCAUAGUAUCAUGAUUAGUAGAAUAUCAUUGCUAUGUUCAUGCAUUCCAUGAUUACAGAGGCAUAGUAGCAUGUGUAUAUUCCAUUACUAUGUAGCAGCUCGUACUUAGUAGAGCGAGAUUGAGUCGGGCGAGGAGCGGGGUAGCUCUUUGCCUAGGACCUUCGAGAUUGAGUCGGGCAAGGAGCGGGGUAGCUCUUUGUCUAGGACCUUUGAGAUUUGAGAUCUUAGGCAAGUUGGCCUAGUCGAUUGGGUUGUAACAUGAAUAGCAUAAGUGGAUUGCAUUCAUGCCAUGAUUGGACAUAGUAGACUGCAUA
RNAcentral lists this long non-coding RNA (6942 nucleotides) under Ananas comosus (pineapple). Its description in RNAcentral is "long non-coding RNA (ACOM_LNC012060)". Lineage: Eukaryota; Viridiplantae; Streptophyta; Magnoliopsida; Poales; Bromeliaceae. The record is from RNAcentral.